Molecule: long non-coding RNA, 269 nt
Organism: Labrus mixtus (cuckoo wrasse)
Lineage: Eukaryota; Metazoa; Chordata; Actinopteri; Labriformes; Labridae
Exons: 2
Source: RefSeq, a predicted model, not a curated record
UAUAUAAAAAUAUAUACAUUUUUCAUUUCAGAUGAAUUGUAGCCUGAGUGACCUCAACAAGAUCGAAAUCACAAUAUUCCUGGAAAAUGGGUAAAGGAGUGAGCCCAUGAAUUCUUACAAGUCAUCAUGAGAAUUAUUGAGGCAACAAAUGUAACUGACAUAAGUUAUUUUUUAUUUAUUGUUGAAGGAAUAAUUGUAUUCUUAUAUAUUCUAUUUUGUAAUAUUGGUAUUUAUUUGUCAAUAAAUGAUAAUGUGACAGUCAUUUUGCC